Molecule: ribosomal RNA, 633 nt
Filed under: Ovis aries (sheep)
Lineage: Eukaryota; Metazoa; Chordata; Mammalia; Artiodactyla; Bovidae
Description: partial 12S ribosomal RNA
Rfam family: Bacterial small subunit ribosomal RNA
Source: RNAcentral
AUUUUAAUUAAACUGUAAAAAGCCAUAAUUAUAACAAAAAUAAAUGACGAAAGUAACCCUACAAUAGCUGAUACACCAUAGCUAAGACCCAAACUGGGAUUAGAUACCCCACUAUGCUUAGCCCUAAACACAAAUAAUUAUAAAAACAAAAUUAUUCGCCAGAGUACUACCGGCAACAGCCCGAAACUCAAAGGACUUGGCGGUGCUUUAUACCCUUCUAGAGGAGCCUGUUCUAUAAUCGAUAAACCCCGAUAAACCUCACCAAUCCUUGCUAAUACAGUCUAUAUACCGCCAUCUUCAGCAAACCCUAAAAAAGGGACAAAAGUAAGCUCAAUAAUAACACAUAAAGACGUUAGGUCAAGGUGUAACCUAUGGAGUGGGAAGAAAUGGGCUACAUUUUCUACCCAAGAAAAUUUAAUACGAAAGCCAUUAUGAAAUUAAUAGCCAAAGGAGGAUUUAGCAGUAAACUAAGAAUAGAGUGCUUAGUUGAAUCAGGCCAUGAAGCACGCACACACCGCCCGUCACCCUCCUCAAGUAAAUAUGAUAUACUUAAACCUAUUUACAUAUAUCAACCACACGAGAGGAGACAAGUCGUAACAAGGUAAGCAUACUGGAAAGUGUGCUUGGAUAAAC